This 75-nucleotide transfer RNA is filed under the name Verrucomicrobiales bacterium. RNAcentral describes it as "tRNA-Val". It matches the Rfam family "tRNA". From Rfam's summary of the family: Transfer RNA (tRNA) molecules are approximately 80 nucleotides in length. Their secondary structure includes four short double-helical elements and three loops (D, anti-codon, and T loops). Further hydrogen bonds mediate the characteristic L-shaped molecular structure. tRNAs have two regions of fundamental functional importance: the anti-codon, which is responsible for specific mRNA codon recognition, and the 3' end, to which the tRNAs corresponding amino acid is attached (by aminoacyl-tRNA synthetases). tRNAs cope with the degeneracy of the genetic code in two manners: having more than one tRNA (with a specific anti-codon) for a particular amino acid; and 'wobble' base-pairing, i.e. permitting non-standard base-pairing at the 3rd anti-codon position. RNAcentral also lists the same sequence under 5 other names. The record is from RNAcentral. Lineage: Bacteria; Pseudomonadati; Verrucomicrobiota; Verrucomicrobiia; Verrucomicrobiales.
GGGCGUUUAGCUCAGUGGUAGAGCACCUCGUUUACACCGAGUAGGCCGGGGGUUCGAAUCCCUCAACGCCCACCA